Alosa sapidissima (American shad) is the source of this 235-nucleotide long non-coding RNA. RefSeq lists it as uncharacterized. The transcript has 4 exons. NCBI's taxonomy places the organism in Eukaryota, Metazoa, Chordata, Actinopteri, Clupeiformes, Clupeidae. The record is from RefSeq and is a predicted model, not a curated record.
UCUGGAGAUUAUUUCAGAUUUGCAAAGUGGAAAUGGUUCGAAGAGGAGAGUGCAUCUAAGAAAAGAGAUUAUUAGAGAUUUGCCAAGUUGGAAGUUGGAGAGAGUGCAUCAAAGAAAAGAGAUUAUUAGAGAUUUGCCAAGUUGGAAGUUGGAGAGAGUGCAUCAAAGAAAAGAGAUUAUUAGAGAUUUGCCAAGUUGGAAGUUGGAGAGAGUGCAUCAAAGAAAAGGUAUUUUA